CCUACGGGGGGCAGCAGUGGGGAAUAUUGCACAAUGGGGGAAACCCUGAUGCAGCGACGCCGCGUGAGUGAAGAAGUAUUUCGGUACGUAAAGCUCUAUCAGCAGGGAAGAAAAUGACGGUACCUGACUAAGAAGCCCCGGCUAACUACGUGCCAGCAGCCGCGGUAAUACGUAGGGGGCAAGCGUUAUCCGGAUUUACUGGGUGUAAAGGGAGCGUAGACGGCAGCGCAAGUCUGAAGUGAAAUCCCAUGGCUUAACCAUGGAACUGCUUUGGAAACUGUGCAGCUGGAGUGCAGGAGAGGUAAGCGGAAUUCCUAGUGUAGCGGUGAAAUGCGUAGAUAUCACGCAGAACUCCGAUCGCGAAGGCAGCCUACCGGCGCGCAACUGACGCUCAUGCACGAAAGCGUGGGUAUCGAACAGGAUUAGAUACCCCUGUAGUC
RNAcentral lists this ribosomal RNA (440 nucleotides) under uncultured bacterium. Its description in RNAcentral is "partial 16S ribosomal RNA". It matches the Rfam family "Bacterial small subunit ribosomal RNA", at positions 338 to 795 of the family's 1533-position model. The record is from RNAcentral.